Long non-coding RNA from Galeopterus variegatus (Sunda flying lemur), 255 nucleotides. RefSeq lists it as uncharacterized. The record is from RefSeq and is a predicted model, not a curated record. The transcript has 3 exons. NCBI's taxonomy places the organism in Eukaryota, Metazoa, Chordata, Mammalia, Dermoptera, Cynocephalidae.
CGCAGCCAGUGCCACCGGCUCCAGCUGGAGGAGGAGGCGGCGGCGGCGGCGCGGCUCGCACGGGGACUGGAAAGGAGUCUUUUAUCCUUCAGUGAUAGCACAAUGAAGCCAUAAAUCUGGAAAGGAAAAAAUGAAAGCAAUCAUUCAAGGCGGAAACACUGGCUGUGGUUUCAUUAAAAUGUGUAAUUGCUGGGCCCUUUGAUUAUUUUUUAAUAUAUAUUUUUACCAUUGGAAAUGAAAUAAAACAUAUUCAAC